GACGAACGCUGGCGGCGUGCCUAAUACAUGCCAGUAGAACGCUGAAGGAGGAGCUUGCUUCUCUGGAUGAGUUGCGAACGGGUGAGUAACGCGUAGGUAACCUGCCUGGUAGCGGGGGAUAACUAUUGGAAACGAUAGCUAAUACCGCAUAAUAGUAGAUGUCGCAUGACAUUUGCUUAAAAGGUGCAAUUGCAUCACUACCAGAUGGACCUGCGUUGUAUUAGCUAGUUGGUGAGGUAACGGCUCACCAAGGCAACGAUACAUAGCCGACCUGAGAGGGUGAUCGGCCACACUGGGACUGAGACACGGCCCAGACUCCUACGGGAGGCAGCAGUAGGGAAUCUUCGGCAAUGGACGGAAGUCUGACCGAGCAACGCCGCGUGAGUGAAGAAGGUUUUCGGAUCGUAAAGCUCUGUUGUAAGAGAAGAACGAGUGUGAGAGUGGAAAGUUCACACUGUGACGGUAUCUUACCAGAAAGGGACGGCUAACUACGUG
Molecule: ribosomal RNA, 495 nt
Filed under: uncultured bacterium
Lineage: Bacteria
Description: partial 16S ribosomal RNA
Rfam family: Bacterial small subunit ribosomal RNA
Source: RNAcentral